This 391-nucleotide ribosomal RNA is filed under the name Terebellides sp. ZMBN 116508. RNAcentral describes it as "partial 16S ribosomal RNA". It matches the Rfam family "Bacterial large subunit ribosomal RNA", at positions 2000 to 2597 of the family's 2925-position model. The record is from RNAcentral. Lineage: Eukaryota; Metazoa; Annelida; Polychaeta; Terebellida; Trichobranchidae.
ACAAACGAAGGCUUGACUGUCUCUCUUAUAAAAAUAAAAAUUGGCCUUUAGGUGAAAAGACCUAAAUUAAGUUAGAGGACAAAAAGACCCCGUAGAGCUUAGUACUUUUUUAAACCCUAUUUUUGUAGGCAUACAAAAAACUAUUUUAAUAAAAAGUUCUUGGCUGGGGCGGCUAUGGAGCAAAUAUCCUCCACAAAUAGUAAAAGAUUCAACAAAUCUUAUUUUAUGAUCCUAAAUUAGAUCAAAGAAAAUAGCUACCUCGGGGAUAACAGAUUAAUCCCUUUUGAGAGUCCACAUUGACAAAGGGUUUUGACACCUCGAUGUUGGCUUAGGGUCACCAAGGGGUCAGCAGCAGCCCCUAACGGUAGGUUUGUUCAACCUUUAAAACCCU